GGAGUGGUGCUCGAGUGGCUGAAGAGGCACGCCUGGAAAGCGUGUAUACGCCAAAAGCGUAUCCCGAGUUCGAAUCUCGGUCACUCCGCCA
Molecule: transfer RNA, 91 nt
Filed under: Bacteroides sp.
Lineage: Bacteria; Pseudomonadati; Bacteroidota; Bacteroidia; Bacteroidales; Bacteroidaceae
Description: tRNA-Ser
Rfam family: tRNA
About the family: Transfer RNA (tRNA) molecules are approximately 80 nucleotides in length. Their secondary structure includes four short double-helical elements and three loops (D, anti-codon, and T loops).
Source: RNAcentral